AAAAGCACAAUAUUCACAAAGUUUUACAAAAAUACCUACUUAAAUACAAUUAUUUUUGAAAUGUCAGUUCAACAUUAAAUAGUUUGAAAUUGUGCCCAAGUUGUAGGCCAUGAUUGCUUUGUUUGUUCUGUUUUCUCCUGCCAUAGCAGCUUUAUUUUGGUGCUCUCCUUGUUUUGCCGAGAUAUUUGUUGAUCUUAUGAAGGAAACAACAAAAUAAUUGAGUUUUUAAAAUCACAAGGCUACAAUGAGGAGAAACAUCACCAACUCUAUGUGUCUGCUUCCUAACUCAAAGGCAUACAACUUGAACAUGGCUUAUCAUUUUUCAUCCCUGCCAGAAAAUCCAACUGGUGCCAGUGGGAACCAUCAUAAGGAAUUAAAUUGUUAUGUUUCCCAGGAUCAGUAAUUAUAAGAAAACAAUACAAGAUAGAAUGAUAAAAGAGAGUAUCAGUUCAUGAAACAGAUAUGAAGAAAGUGAGCUUUCAGACAACUUGGUAUGAGAUUCAACUGAAUCAAAUAAUCCUGGAAACAGGUACAUGAAUCUAGUAGGAAAUCAACAAGUAGAGAUGAAAUGGAAUAGUUAUGCCUUAUUUUUGUGGUAAUCCAAUUUCACCAACCACAAUAAUGGAAUCUCUCAUUUGUAUUCUGCUAUCUUAAUA
Long non-coding RNA from Sarcophilus harrisii (Tasmanian devil), 656 nucleotides. RefSeq lists it as uncharacterized. The transcript is spliced from 3 exons. The record is from RefSeq and is a predicted model, not a curated record. Lineage: Eukaryota; Metazoa; Chordata; Mammalia; Dasyuromorphia; Dasyuridae.